Long non-coding RNA from Pollicipes pollicipes, 446 nucleotides. RefSeq lists it as uncharacterized. The transcript has 3 exons. The record is from RefSeq and is a predicted model, not a curated record. NCBI's taxonomy places the organism in Eukaryota, Metazoa, Arthropoda, Thecostraca, Pollicipedomorpha, Pollicipedidae.
CACCUCGGCUGGUGGCGCACCUUAGCCGCCUGCUGCGACACCUCAGCCCCGUGGCCGACCGGCGUCGGCCAGCCGCCGCUCAGGACCGUUGCGGCGUGACGCCGCUGGCCAAACGUUUGCCGAAGUUAUGGCCAAGUCACCCGGUUAGAGAGGAGGGAACUGAAGUAAUCAGCUCUUCAGCGACCUCGACAAGAAGCACUCGACAGACCAUGCACCCGCCAAGAUCAGGGAAGCUGAACAUUCUGGCCCGGCAGCGGCCGUUCGUGCUGGCAACAGUGAGCCGUCCACCAGAGGGCGCUGGUCCCGCGCACGUCCCUCAGACCGCAGCCAUGUAGUCAGCUGACGCGCACCUUCCGGCAGACCCGUCCCGCCUCAGCCGCAUGCCAGGGUGCAGCGCAGCGCCCUCGCCCGGGCGGCACGCGCCCGCCGGGCCAUCUGGCGGUGGG